Molecule: unclassified non-coding RNA, 400 nt
Filed under: uncultured Cortinarius
Lineage: Eukaryota; Fungi; Basidiomycota; Agaricomycetes; Agaricales; Cortinariaceae
Description: sequence contains ITS2
Rfam family: 5.8S ribosomal RNA (bases 1-154)
Source: RNAcentral
AACUUUUAACAACGGAUCUCUUGGCUCUCGCAUCGAUGAAGAACGCAGCGAAAUGCGCUAAGUAAUGUGAAUUGCAGAAUUCAGUGAAUCAUCGAAUCUUUGAACGCACCUUGCGCUCCUUGGUAUUCCGAGGAGCAUGCCUGUUUGAGUGUCAUUAAUAUAUCAACCUUCUCUUUUUGAGUGGUUUGGAUGUGGGGGUUUGCUGGCCUCUUAAAAGGUCUUGGCUCUCCUGAAAUACAUUAGCAGAACAACCCUGUUCAUUGGUGUGAUAACUAUCUACGCUAUUGAAUGUGAAGGGCAGUUUGGCUUUCUAACAGUCCUUGGACAAGCUCAUCAUUAAUGUGACCUCAACUCAGGUAGGACUACCAGCUGAACUUAAGCAUAUCAAUAAGCGGACGCU